UUCAUUGCUUCGCUCGUCUUUCGCGAUCCUCACAAACACUCGUGUAUCGUCAAAAUUCAAAAACGAUGGGAAUGUACGAAAAGAAAAAAAGAAAAAAGAAAAGAAGACGAGAAGGAAGAGAAAAACAUCCGCAGAUACCAGAAGUCAGUUACGAACGUGCAAAACCAGUUACGUCAGGCUAGACUGCCGAAAGGAAUGUUAAAACACGAUAAUGAAUAUCACGCGGAAACAAGGACUGUUUACUCAUGAUGUCUUCAUGCGUUUUUAAAUAUUCCAACGAUAUCCAAACUACGUCUCAGAGGAAAC
This 306-nucleotide unclassified non-coding RNA is filed under the name Bombus terrestris (buff-tailed bumblebee). Its description in RNAcentral is "misc RNA ENSBTSG00005025716.1". The record is from RNAcentral. Lineage: Eukaryota; Metazoa; Arthropoda; Insecta; Hymenoptera; Apidae.